RNAcentral lists this long non-coding RNA (12054 nucleotides) under Nicotiana tabacum (common tobacco). Its description in RNAcentral is "long non-coding RNA (NTAB_LNC011144)". The record is from RNAcentral. Lineage: Eukaryota; Viridiplantae; Streptophyta; Magnoliopsida; Solanales; Solanaceae.
UUUUUCAUAUGGACAUUUAAUGUAAUACUCAAAAGAAGUAAAAAGAAAAGAUAGCUACUAUGUUAGGCUGCUAAUGGUAUUUUAAUGACAAUAAAGUAUUGAAAGCAAAUUUUUAAAAGUCUUACCUAGCAUGUUUCUGUCUCAAACAACCAACCAAAUGAUUGGAAUCCAAGAAACAAGAUAAGUUUAACAAUAUUAUUAAGUUGAAAUAAUAAAAGAAAUGGAGUACUCAGUUUUCAAAAUAUUAACAAAAUUAAAAAACAAACAAAUAAACCAAUAAUCAACAAUGAAGUACAUACAUCUUAAUAUGCCAAAAAAGAAGACAAUCCGCCCAGGAAAUUGCAGAAAUUUUAUCAACAAGAAAGAUUUAAAAAAUUACGGAAAAUAAGGGUAAAUUACAGAAGAAAAUACCAGAGAAAAUAACGAACUCAGCUGCUUUCCUUUUAAUUAGUGAAAUUCAAUUAUGGCAAACUUUGGUGAGCUAGAUGCGAAUGGAGGAUGGAAAACAGGGACUAGCUUGAACCGCGAACCUCGUCGACAACCUCGAACUCGGGACCUCUCGCACGGGAACUCGCCGGCGACUUCGCCAUGGAUUCUACCAUUUUUAGCGUGAUGAAAGGGCUAUUUUGGAGCUGAUUUUCAGAGCAGUUUUUAGCAGUUUUUUAUCUUCGUUUCGAGAAAAUUUAAACUACGUUUUUUGCUCAAUUUCAUGACUGUUCUUCAGCUUGUUUUGGGUGAGGUUUGGGGCUGUAAUGGGAUGGUUCGGAGGUGCUUUUCGGGUCAUUUUUUUAGUAGCUUUUGGACAUGUUUUGUAGCAUGAUUUUCGCUGCUUUCGUUGCGUUCUUGAACUGGUUUUCUGGUAGAAACAGGGGCUGUUCGGGUAAGGUUUUUUGCGUGAUUUUCCGGUUAGUUUUCGGGCUAAGGGAUGUUGUUUAUGGAGGAGGAAGAAGGCAGCAACAACUGCUGCAUUUUUGGCCGCAAACAGCUAUGAUUUUUCUUUCAAAUGCUGUUGAAAAUCUUGGGUUUUGAGAAUGGCUGAAGCUUUUGUAAUUGGGGGUGAGGGAUUUUUGGUUUGGUUGUUGAUGAAGAAGAUGGAUGGGGGAGGGUGUUUUCUGAUUUUGUUCAGCGGCUUGUCAAUCUCUUUUAGGUCUCUUAGGCGUGUUUUUAGCUAUUUUCAACUGCUAGGUACUUAUAUGCAGAUGUCUAGGGUUUAAUUAAAGGGUAUGGGUGUUGGGCUAAGGGUUAAUUUUGGGACAACGGGGAUUUGGGCUCAAGGGCUAGUCCGAAAUUGGGCCAUUUUCUUGCCCAAAAUUGAGCUAAAAUUGUCUUGAAUUAUCUAACAAUUGGGCUUCUUAGAAGAUCUGGAUUUCAUUAACUAAGGGCCUAAGUUUUUCUUAUUUAAAAUAGUAUAAAGCAUUUAUAAAAAUGUAAAACCACUCCUAAUUAAUUAUAAAAACUAUUAAAGAUAAACCUAAAAUGAAACUAGUUUUGUUUUUGUAUUUUUCAAGAUUAAAAAUGACUACAAAACAUUAAUGAAACUAUUUUUUUGUAAUUUUUGUUUUCUUGUAAUAAAAUAAAAUAAAAGCGUAAAAGUUAGUUGAAAUAGAUAUAUUAGGCCUAAAUUAAAUAUUUACGUGUUAAAAUAUAAAAAAUCUUGGGAAGGGUCAAAAAUCACAUGUCUACAACUGCCCCUCUUUGACUGAAAAUACGAAGUAUUUUUAGACAAAGAACGACUAGAUAAGUUUUUUGACCUGACCCUUAUUUAAAGAGACUAAAAGCUAAAAGAAGAGAGAAUGUGACCGAGCCCUAGUAUCUGAGUUGCCUACAUAUCCUUGGCUGUAAAGGAAUCAGGCCACGUGUAGUUCAGAAGUGAGUGAGAUGAUGGAGUAUACCGAGCUGAAGAGCCGGUCGAGGUGCCGUUCCGCCGAGGUUCCGGUCCGCGGUCCUGUUAUUACAUCAAAAAAAUAAAAAAAAUGGAAAAGACUAGCUAAGCCUAUCAACUACGAGUUACAAGAUUACUAUCUAUAAGUCUUCUGAAGCUUGAUCUUGAGUCUUGAGUGGUUCUUCAUGCAAACUUUAGAUUUGAACCUUGACGCUUGCUAGUUGCAGGUACUAGUUCAUCCUUCUUCAGCUUUUCGGAUCAAGACCAGGCAUGUAGUGCUUGUGACCUCAGCGAUAUCUUGAGCAGCCCACAUCUUUCAUCAACUUCUGCAUUUGGAUUAACUUCUUGCCUUUCUUUUUUUUCUUUAUUAUGACUAACUUCUGUUGAUCACCUCGAACUGUUGACUCGCAUUCUUGCCGCGAGCUUCUUUUGUUGCUAACUUGAAUUGUAUUCUGAAGUGAAUUCUCUUAUUCUCUAGGUAGGUGCCUAAUUGCUGAACUUGAACCGUCUUCCUUUGACCACUGUUUCCUUCCCUUUGUUCUCCGGGUGGGCUCCUGAUUUCAUACAUUUGAAUUAUCUUCCUUUCCUCUGAAACUUGUCUUGUUCUCCCUUUGUUCUCUAGGUGGGCUCCUGAUUUCCGAACUUCCUUUGAACCUUGCUGCUUCCCUUUGUUCUCCAAGGGGCUCCUGAUUGCUAUAUUUCUUUGAACAUUGCUUCUUCCCUUCGUUCUCCAGGUGGGCUCCUGAUUACCAACACUUGCACUACGUUUCCUCGAAACUUGAACUGUUUCCCUUUGUUCUUCAGGUGGGCUCCUGAUUGCUGAACUCCUUUGAACCUCGCUGCUUCCCUUCGUUCUUCAGGUGGGCUCCUGAUUUCUAUCUUCCUUUGACAUUGCUGCUUCCCUUCGUUCUUCAGGUGGGUUCCUGAUUGAUGUCUUCCUUUGAAUGUUGCUGCUUUCCUUCGUUCUCCAGGUGGGCUCCUGAUUGGUGUCUUCCUUUGAACAUUGCUGCUUCCUUUCAUUCUUCAGGUGGGCUCCUGAUUACCAACACUUGCGAUGCUUUUCCUCGAAACUUGAACUGCCUCCUUUUGUUCUUCAGGUGGGAUCCUGAUUGCUGAACUCCUUUGAACCUUGCUGCUUUUCCUUUGUUCUUUAGGUGGGCUCCUAAUUGCUGAACACUUGCAUUGCUUUUCCUUGAAACUUGAAUUGCUUCCCUUGAAACUUGAACUGCUUCCCUUUGUUCUCUAGGUGGGCUCCUGAUUUCCAACACUUGAACUGACCCCUCUGAAACUGCUGCUUGUGAACCUGAUUACAACAAAACAAACAAACAAAAAAAAAAUCUGCCCCAGUUUGAUAUUGGGAACAUCUGUGAGUGUUAAUCAAAUCAUAAUACCCAAAAGCUCUAAGAAUUUAAAAUCUAAAUCCCAUUAUCCAUGAGGGUCCUGAAAAUUAAGAAUUAAAUCUCAUCUCAAGAGUGACACCUUCAAAGCUAAAUUCUAUUUCCUAAAUGUAAAACUUACGCUAAAUCUUAUUGUCUAUGAAGGUCUUAAAAACUUAAAACUAAAUCCCAUUAUCCGGGUCCUGAGAACUUUAAAUUAAAUCCCAUUAUCCAGGAGGAUUCUGAAAAUUUUAAAUUAAGUCCCAUUAUCUAGGAGGGUCCUGAAAAUUUUAAAUUAAGUCCCAUUAUCUAGGAGGGUCCUGAAAAGCCGAGAACGAACUUACCUGAGCCGCGCUCUCUUCCUGGAGGAUCUCUAUAGACCGAACAAAAUUCCUUUCCCCUGAACCACGCUUUUCCUCAUGGAGAGUUCCUGUAGAUCAAACACAUUUUUCUUUCCCCUUCUCAAAUCGCCUUUGUGCUGACAAAAAUUGUGCACGACACUUGAAAAAAUUCAAACUUCCAAGCUUUGAUUUGGACAUAAUUUUCAUCCCUAUUUCAAACAAAGAGAACUUGUGAGCUUAUAAAUAUGGUGGUUGGUUUGUGGCCUUGACUUUGAGGGCGAUUGCUCCUUAACUACCCAUGAUAACUUUGAUUUCCACUCGAAAGACCUUGCUUGUUUAUUGACUAGCUACUUUCUUUGUCACCCUUAUCACGGAAAAUACCUCUAAUCUGUUCAAACCCGAUACCAUUCAUCUGUUGCAGUGUGUUCUUGCAUUGACAUGUACUGAACCUUUGUGUUUCACAUGAAUCCCAAAGUACAUCAAUUGCCAUCCACUCAGUGCGCAUGCUGUUCUUUCCUGACUUAAAACACUGGCCUUGGCCUUGAGGUCUAUUGCUCCUUCACUUGCCAUGAUAACUUUGAUUUCUGCUUGGAAGACCUUGCUUGUCACUGGUUAACCACUUUCUUUGUCAAUCUAUCACAGAAAAUACCUUUGAUCUAUUCCAACCCAACACCCUCUAUCUAUUGCAUUGUUCAUCAAUUGACAUAUACCGAUCCUUUGUAUUUCACGUGAAUCUCAAAGCACGUUGAUUGUUACCAACUCAGUGCGCUUGCUAUUCUUUUCUGGCUUAUGAAACUUUGAUGUGCAUAGCCAGAUCCCGUUUUGUGCAAUUGAAAAGAAUCAGGUCAAACGUAGUUCCCAAAACUACUUUUAUUACUAUUUUCCUUUUCUUUUUCCUUUUUCCCUUUUCCCUUUUUUUAUUUUUUUCUUUCCCCUUUUCUCUUUUUUCUUUUUCUUUUUCUUUUUUUAUCUCUGUUUUUUUUGAAUCUUCAUUUUGGAAUGAACUUCUAAAAUAAACCUAUGGGGACAUGAACUUUUUUUUUCUUUUUUCGUAUGACUCUAACUUGAUUCUAAAAGAGGGAAGGUCAAAGAAAUCAGUACAGGGUCAAAAAGGGUAUCGAAUGUAUAAGUGUUUCUGUAGCUGAAAGAGGGCCUCCCAAUCCCUAAAAAUGGCAAGUACAACACAUGCAACUUGAAAUGAAAAAGGAAUAGCGCGCACAAUGUUUCUUUUACAGCCUUGACAUUGAUAUCAGUGAUAUGAUUUCCAUUCUUUUAGUGACUUGUCAAGUACAGAACCCUCGUUAGGUGAUUCCCUCUUCACAAUGGAUAUCCUCCAUCAAUUCGGAGACAACUUUCUUGACUUUAUCUUGUAACUUGAGAUGCACUUGAACUCAAAGUUUCUUGCUUCAAAUUGUUUGGGAUGCACUCUACUUUAACGAAUUCUUGUCACCCUAUUAACUUCCCAAAUUAUCUGCCCCAGUUUCACAUGGUUUGGGCUUCAAAUGAUCUUAAAAUGUCCAAAUCUGUACUUAUUUCCCUCAAAUGUCCCUAUCAUCUUCAAAAUUGUUUCAUUGCUUCAUGAUUAAACUAACUUUAGAACCAUGCCUAAAAUUAUGCAUGCAUGUCAUGUCAUUAAAUCCAGCAUGAGAAGAAAAACUAUAAAAGGAGAAGAUAACUAAACAAAAAAUGGUUAGAAAUAACAGAAAACAGGAAAUUGCAUUAGACAGACGGUGAAAAGGGUUUGGAUAAUAAGACAAGCAAAAUAAACUGGGGUACAAUCCUGGAACAAAACCAGACAACACUAAACGAGCUACUACGACUAAACAAAACUAGGCAAAAUAAAAGGAUAGAAGGGUUUGAGUCACAAGACAAUAUUCGGAUUACAACCCUGAAAAUAACCCGGACAACAGAAAUAAAAACAAAAUAAACCACCACAACUCCUCCCCGGGCCAACCAAGAAUGGAGUGUCUUUCCAAUUACCAAACACGACAUCUUAGCCACUGAGUUUCGCAUCAACAUUACUAGGACCUUCACAAGUCUCAAUCACAUUGACUUUAGCAAAUUGCAUUUAGGUCCUUUUGCCGGCUCGUUCUUAAGACCAAACUCUGAUAGCGCUGAAAGCUUCGCAGCACGUGGACCUCCGAGGAUCUCAGAAGAAUUCUCAUAUUCCUUUUCAAAACAAAUCAUACCCACCACAUGCGUCUCAUUAUGAACAUGCGAUGGACUUUGGCUAGUGUCUACUGCAUCUGGAUUUUGCACGACAAUGUCACCUGCAUCAAUAAGCUUCUGAAUUACAUUUUUCAGGUGCCAACACUUUUUUGUACUGUGACCCGGGGCACCGGAUCAGUAUGCGCACCUUUGAGAAAAAUCAAACUUCUUUGGCAAAGGGUUUGACAUUUUUAUUUGAAUCGGCUUCAACAUGUCCAAUUGCCUCAACCUUUGGAACAAACUAGCAUAUGAUUCUCCAAUAGGAGUGAAAGCUUUUUCUUUUUUCUAUUGUCUUUUCAGUUUGUAUUCUGGCUUCGGUUGGAACCUUUUGCGAGCAGGUGGCUGAUAUGCUUGAGGGGGCGGGUAAGACAUUUGGGUAAAUGGUGCGGGCCUCGUGGGUGUGGAGCAUAUGGUGGUGCAUUGUGGAUAGGGUACUGGAAAAGUGAUGUACGACUUUGGGGGUUCUAUGGAGAGAAGUAGCAUUGGGGAGGAUCAUCUAGUACACAAGGAUAUCCAUGGGGUCGAUGUCGAGGCUGAAAGCGUUGAGCAAGAAUGCCCAGCGGAUCAUCUUUUCUAUUUCUCUUUCUUCCACCCAAACUUACUGGGAUAUUCUGAAUGUCUUCCAUAGUAUCUUUCAAUGCCGAAUAACUCAUGAUUUUGCCUGACUUGAUUCCCUCUUCUACCAUCUCCCCCAUUUUUACUACAUCAUUAAAAGGUUUACCCAAGGUCAGAAUCAAAUGACUGAAGUAGGUGGGCCCUGAGCUUGUAGGAAAAGCUAAACUAUUUCUUCUUCACCAAUGGGAGGACAGACUCGUGCAGCUUGCUCCCUCCAUCUGAGCCCAAACUCCCUAAAGCUUUCCUCCGGUUUAUUUUCCAUCUUAGAUAGGGAGGAGUGGUCUGAGGUAAUGUCUAAUUUGUAUUGAAAGUGUCGAACAAAAUCUUGAGCCACGUCGCCCAAUGUAUGCCACUUACCGACAUCUUGACGAUUAUGCCAUUCCAAAGCUGCCCCAGUCAAGCUCUUACUGAAAUACGUCAUCAACAAAUCAUCUUUCUCGCCAACACUUCUCAUUUCCCUGCAAUAACCCCUUAGAUGGGCUACCGGAUCUCCACGCCCCUCAUACAAAUUGAACUUCGGCACUUUAAACCCCGCAGGCAGAUGUACAUCAGGGAACAUAUGAAUCUGAUUUCUCAUCCCUUGCAUGCUCCUUAAGGACUGUUCUAUACCUUUCAGCUUCCUGGAUAUUUCAUCUCGCCCUUCUUUUCCUGUGACCUUUUCAUUUUCAGCAUGAGGCUCAUUCCGAGGGCUCUGCUUGUAUGAGUCAAGAACCUUGUGGGCAACUUCUGAGGGGUAAUAUUGGGCAUCACGAGCUUUGAGUGGGUAUUCAUUUUUGGGGAUAGUGGAUAUGACAGGAGGGUAAUUUUGGGGAAAGGUAAUUGGAGGACGAGUGAUGGAGCUACUAAGGUGGUUGGGAAAACUGUGAUAAGCGGGUGGAUCUGGAGAGUAUGGGGGAUCAUCUGGCACUAUGACAGGAGUUCGGGUAAGGGUAGCAUCUAGGAAGCUAGGUGGGGGUGGGGGUGGUACCUUCCCAGUCAUCCAAACCUGAUACAUGUCCGCAAUAUGUUGUCUUAACAUCCUUACCUCUUCAACCAACCCAUCGCCCUGUUCAAGCAAUUACUUUUGGGCACCAGUACCAACCAACUCAAUUCCAUUGCCGUUCAUUGCCUUUCGACCUUAUGUUGUAGAGAAGAGUUACCACUUUAAGAAUCACAAACCAACCACCUUUCUGCUCAAUGAAGAUAACAAAAGGAACAAAAUGGGGACAUCCUGUUAGCAUUAGGGAAUUUAAUAACUAAAAAUCAUAUUGCGUGCAAUGUACCUAGCAACAAUUAACGGUUCUAGAAUGACUUCUAGGGUCACAAGGUCACUUGGCAUCAUCCCAAUUUUGUUCAUUUCAAUCUUCUCUUUCUUUUCUUUUCUAGCAUUUCUUGGCUUGCUCAUUUUCCUUCCUUUCUUUUUCUUACUGACUAUCACUCUUUUCUUUCCUCUCAUUUCUCACGUCCCACAACUUUAUCCUCUUUUUGUCUUUUCUCUUUUUUUUUCUUUUUUUCCCUUUUUCUUUUAAUAAAAUAAAAUUAAGAAAAUGAUUCGAUCGAACCCUAUGUAGGUUGCCUACGUAUCAUGACGCUGCAUGAAUUAGAUCUUUGCGUAGUUCGGGAAGAUCGGGAAUAAAGUAAACAAACCGAUGUUCUCUUUUUUUUCUUUUUUUUCUUUUUACCUUAAUGACUAAUUUGAUGAGAAAAGAGAAACAAAAGAAGCAAAUUUUUUUUCUAGACUGAAUGUUCUAUAACCUACUCUAAACUCAAGCUUAACGAGCAUGUCUUUUGUUUUCUUUUUUUUCUUUUUGAAACAAAUACUCUAUGUAAAAUUAUUAAGGAUAAAACCCUACAAGAGAAAAAUAUUUUUGAUUCUUUUUUUAGGAAGGAAAUCUAAAGAAUAAACCAAAGAAAAAUAUUUUGAAUUUUCACUUGAUAUUCUGAAUAAAAGAUUUCGAAACAAGAAAUGAAAAGAUAAAAAACUAUUUUUUGGAUUUAAAUUUUUGAUUACCUAAGGAAGAAACUCUGAAAAUAAACCAAAGAAAAAGUAUGUUUUUUAUUCUAUGUACAAUAUCCUAAAGUUCUAAUGAAAAUAAGAAAAAGGUUUUUUUUUUUCAUUUUUCACCAAUUUCCCAAAGAAGCACCUCCAAAGAAAAUCUUUUUGGAUUUUUGGAACUAAAAUCUUAAAGAAAACUUUUAAAGUGGUACUAAAAGAAAAUUUUCUUUUAUUUUUUUGAAUUUUUAGUCUUAAUGUACUAAAAGGAAAUAUAAUAGCAAUUUUUAUUUUGAGUUCUAUAUAUUAAUUUCCUAAAGGAAAACCACCUUAAAAGAAUUAGUAUUCUAAUGAAAACUUCUAACAGAAAUAUAAAACGCGAAACCUCUUUUUUUUUGGAUUUUUGAGUUACAGUACACUUUUUCAAAUAUAAAGUAGAAAGUACAAUAAUAAAAGACUCAACGUUACUGUACAAAACUAAAAAGUAAAAGACGACAUAAAAUGAAGAACAUACUCAAAACAUAAAAACUAAAACAAAUCUCCUUAAGCAACUCCUAAAUGAGCGAUCCUAACUGGAUGGUCACGAGAUGUCUGCCAUGCUCAAAUCCCGGUAAGUAGAUCCACACCUGUAUAAAAAAAACUCAAACCAACACUAGGUGAGACAAUAACAUUCCCUAUUGGACACAUGCAAGACAUAAUUGAGGCUAUUUUUGCAAAAUGGCUUAUUUGUCCAAAAGGUGGCAAGAACCUAAGAUUUACUAGGAAGACCGGACCCUAUGUGGGUUGCCUACGUACCACGCCUCAAAAGACGAGAAUCAGGUAUGCGUAGUUCGGACAAAUUGGAUACGGGCGAGAAUUAAAAAAAACACAACUAAUUUAGAGAAAACAUAUUUUUUUGUCUUUGGUUUUUGAAAAAUGAUGAAACAUGUAAACUCUUUUUGGAUUUUCUUUUUCCUUUUUUCUGAUUUUUUUUGUACAAAAUAAUGGGAAAGUGCAAAAUCUUUUUGGAUUUUUCCAUUUUCAUUUUUUGGUCUUUUCUUAAAAAUAAAAUGUGAAAGAAAAACAUAACUAGGUCCUACUUGCUUUAUUUUUUACACUUCACACACUUUUUUCUCAUUUAUCCUCAAACCUCAUUGGUCCGCCAAAUGACCUCGUUUACCCUUGAAAAUUGUAACAUGUAGCACAUAAGAUGCAACAUGAUAGUCUUUUAUUUUUUGGGUACACCUAUCCUAGACGGACCCAACCCCUAUAUUGAGUCCCCAAAGUCAAAUGCACGUGAUGCAAACAAGCGUUCCUACUAGGGAUCCGGCAUGAGGGUGUGUUAUUCUAAGUUUAAAACCUGGGUGUAUUGUUCUAGACCUGGCUUACCCGAGCGGACAACUCGAGUCGGGGGGGGGGGGGGCAGCGUACCGGUAACCAAAAGAUCAUCCAGCUUUGCAACUUGUCCGAACCUUAUUCUAAAUUGGGAUAUGACACUAACAGAAAGAAGUCACGCCAGCGUGCCCUCCUCAGAAGAUAGAAGAAAGGGGUUUCGUAGCAGUUUAUAUAUACAGAUCAUAUAAUAUCAAAGCGGUAAGCAACAUUUAGCACAUUAGGCCUAAACAUGUAGAUAAAAUCAAACAAUAAAUAAAGCCAAAUAUAACAAUUAUUAUAAGCUCGAAUUCUUGAACCUCGAACCAGAGAUUCUGGGUUUGAUCUCCAGCAGAGUCACCAGAGCUGUCACACCUCCUUUUACCUACCCCGCAGAAGGGUGUAAGGGAGUUUUUUUUUCCAAUUUAAGUGACAAUCAAAACGAGAUUAUUUAUAUUAAAUUCAGAGUUGCCACUUGAGAUAAUUUAUGGUGUCCCAAGUCACUGGUUUAAAUCCCGAAUUGAGGAAUUUUGACUCUGUUUUACAGUCCGCAAACACAAAAAUCCGGGUAAGGAAUUCUGUUAACCCGAGAGAAUGUGUUAGGCAUUUCCGGGUUCCGUGGUUUUAGCACGGUCGCUCAACUAUUAUUAUUUGCUUAAUUAUCUGAUUUUAAAAUAUCUUUAAAACCUAUGUGCAUUUUUAUUCCUUCUGAACUGCUUUUAAUAAAUUAGUGUUACAUAUUGCGAAUCAUGUCAUGGGAACCGUACCCAUGAUCUACAACAUGUUUAUUUUAUUAACAAGAUUAAAUGUGGCCGGGUCACAUAAAUGUAACCCCAGAUUUAGAAAUUAGGUGUCACAACUACGUCACGGGAACCGUACCCGUAGCUAUGACAAUUUAUUAAUCGCACCUAAAACAAGCUGCGCAUUUAAAAUAUUUGAACUAAACUUUGGGAUUAUUAUGCAACCCAACAUGCUUUUUUUUUUUAAAAAAAAAAUCCAAACCAAUCCUACAGCUCCUUAAAGCUAACAAAUAAUAGUCCAUUACAAAAAAUUCAAUUAGCACUAUUUUGUUAGACGCAAACCAUACGGCCUUUAAAAAGAAAAUGAAGAUACAGAAACAUUGGCAACAAAUUGCACACAAUCUCAAACUCAUAUGAUACCAAACGAUUUUCAACCAAAAUCUCUGCCAUGAUUUUUGUGUAAAUAGCAAUGUCAAAAGUAAAAGACUAUACAACUAUUGAAAUAAGGACUCUCGCAAUAAAUAUUUCAUACAGAAAUUGGCGAUAGGACCAAGGCCUUCUUUAUUGUGCUUUUUUCAUAUGAACAUUUAAUGUAAUACUUAGAAGAAGUAAAAAGAAAAGAUAGCUACUAUGUUAGGCUGCUAAUGGUAUUUUAAUGACAAUAAAGUAUUGAAAGUAAAAUUUUAAAAGUCUUACCUAGCAUGUUUCUGUCUCAAACAACCAGCCAAAUGAUUGGAAUCCAAGAAACAAGAUAAGUUUAAUAAUAUUAUUAAGUUGAAAUAAUAAAAAAAAUGGAGUACUAUGUUUUCAAAAUAUUAACAAAAUUAAAAAAAAAACUAGUAAUCAACAAUGAAGUAUGUGCAUCUUAAUAUACCAAAUAAGAAGACAAUCCACCUAGGAAAUUGCAGAAAUUUUAUCAACAAGAAAGAUCCAAAAAAUUACGGAAAAGAAGGGUAAAUUGCAAAAGAAAAUACCAGAGAAAAUAACGAACUCAGCUGCUUUCCUUUUAAUUAGCGAAAUUCAAUUACGGCAAACUUUGGUGAGCUAGAUGCGAAUGGAGGAUGGAAAACAGGGACUAGCCUGAACCGCGAACUUCGUCGGCAACCUCGAACUCGGGACCUCUCGCACGGGAACUCGCCGACGACUUCGCCAUGGAUUCUACCAUUUUUAGCGUGAUGAAAGGGCUGUUUUGGAGCUGAUUUUCAGAGCAGUUUUUAGCAGUUUUUUUAGCUUCGUUUUGAGAAAAUUUAAACUGCAUUUUUGGCUCAAUUUUGUGACUGUUCUUCAGCUCGUUUUGGGUGAGGUUUGGGGCUGUAAUGGGAUAGUUCGGAGGUUCUUUUUGGGUCAUUUGUUUAGCAGCUUUUGGACCGGUUUUGCAGCAUGAUUUUCACUGCUUCUCUGAGCUGCUUUUGUUGCGUUCUUGAACUGUUUUUCUGGUGGAAACAGGGGCUGUUCGGGUGAGGUUUUUUGCGUGAUUUUCCGGCUAUUUUUGGGCUAAGGGAGUUUGUUUAUGGAUGAGGAAGAAGGCAGCAGCAGCUACUGCUUUUUUGUUUUCAUAUGGACAUUUAAU